CGGGAGCAGCGGUUCUGCAGGGCAUUCUGGGAAAGCUCCCGGAAGGGUGGGCGGCUGGCCUCACGUGGACCACCCGCUGUCGGUCCUGAAAGGGGCCCCGAGGGCAGGGGAGCCGCGCUGUGACCGCGGGGCAGGCCUCACCGAGGACGCCGAGGGAGGUGGAGGAGGAGGCCGGGCUCGCGGGCGUGUGAGAGCUGCCGGACGCCUCGAGGAGGCUGCAGAAACCACCCCAUGAUGGCAUCUCCUAGGGUGAGGGCACGUUCUCCCCAGACUCUGAUGACCCGAGCAGCCCUGUCACUGCAAGACCUGGCGUCGCAUGUGACCAUGAGGGCUGCAGUGUCAGCAUGGUGGGUCCAGGCACUGCCUGCCAUCCUCUGGCAGAAGAGUGGGAGCUCAGCAGCCCCUCCCAUGGAAUCCUCGCUGUCUCCCAGUGUCUACACCACCCUGAACACGCGCAGUGACGCAGAAGGUCUUCUUGGGUCUUCCUCCAUCGGCAGCCCUGCUCCUUUUCUCGGAUCUUACGGACGCCCUUCUUCACCCGAGUCAGCAUCUCCCCUCAGCUGCGUCCAGCGCCACAGAAAGUGUGUUGCCCACAUCCUUGACUCUCCACGUCUGGUCGCCUGGAUGUGGACCCACCCUCCUGCUGCCGCUGAGACAUGGCUUCCAGAACCCUGCAGGGAGAGCCCGCGCUGCAGCCGCUCCCAAGUCCGUCCUGGCCGCUGUUUACCUGGAAUCAUCCCGUGGGUCCCGCCAAGCAGAUGUUAGAGAUCUUCUCCUGGAACCACAGGCCGGGCCCACAUGGCCGGCAGACGCCCACCCCACUCCCGAGAGGACCUUGUUUAACCAGGGUCCCCAUGCGCUGCGUCUGCAAGAAGCCUGCCCAACUGCGGACUUGGCGGCCAUCCCAAGAGGGCUGUCACUGAAACUGACCACAGUGGGCGAAGGGCUCUGGGGGAAGAUCUCAACAGUGGGACCGCUGGCCUCAAGGCAAAACUCAAGGCCAUCAGCUGUUUGGGUAAAAUGCAAUGAUGUCCAUGAAAUUGUCAUUAAACUCUUGCUUGCGUGAAUAAUUGAGCAUGAGAUCCACGUGCACUGACUUCCUGGGGCCUGCUCAGGAGGGAGGCUGGGGCGACCUGGGCUUCAGGUGCCGGGCUCUGAGGGAGUCCGCAAACGCCCAGGGACCGAGGGGCCAAAGCAGGUCUGCACACUUGCCAGGCCCAGGAGCUGCUCCUUUAUCUCUUCUCAGGGAAGGCAUUUUCUGCCCAUUUCCUGCUCUGCCUGGCCCAGCAGGAAGGGCGCGGUGAGAGGAGCAGAUGGGAGGAAGAGACAGAAAAGCAAGAGGCCUUGAGGGUUGGAGUUGAAGUCCCGCUAAACCCAAGGUACACGUCAUGAUUCUGCAGCUUGCUAGCUGUGUGACCUUUAGCAAUUCACUGUACCUCUCUGAGCUUCAAUUUCCUUAUCUGAAAAAUAAGGACCGUAACUCUCAUCUUUUCAGAAAUGUUGAUCAAUUUCUCCAGGUCCGUCCCUCCCUGCCCAGCCCACAGCCCUGAUAAGUUCUCUCCCCCCUCCCACCAUCACCACCAACCCUCAGCUUAUUAGCAGCAUUGAGGUGGACACCUGGUCCACACUGGACAAAUAUCAGAUUUUCCCUCCCAGGAGUCUCGGUUUGGAACAUGGAGACAGUCAUUAAGCUGUGGAAGCCAGCUGGAAGAGCACGUGGCUCAGGGAUGGAGGCCGCCAUUUUGGCAUGGCCUUGGUGGAUGGGAAGUGAGCAGAAAGCCGGCUACAGCAGGAGGGAAAAAGAUGGGUAGAGGGAGCUAGAGAUGAGUCAGACUGCAGAUCCAGUCAGAGACAGAGGCAGACACAGAGACAGGGAGGGGCCCUGUCAGGUGACCCAAGACCCAGGACAUUGGCUG
Equus caballus (horse) is the source of this 1916-nucleotide long non-coding RNA. The record is from Ensembl. NCBI's taxonomy places the organism in Eukaryota, Metazoa, Chordata, Mammalia, Perissodactyla, Equidae.